This 7737-nucleotide long non-coding RNA is filed under the name Centruroides sculpturatus (bark scorpion). RNAcentral describes it as "uncharacterized LOC111638161". The record is from RNAcentral. Lineage: Eukaryota; Metazoa; Arthropoda; Arachnida; Scorpiones; Buthidae.
GAUUCCACAGAUGUAGAUUGGCUAUAGAACAAGAUUUUAUUAUAACCUAUACUUGUAAUCAGUCAGUUUUCGUUCCGAACUUUGAAACAGCAUGGAAAAAACAUGUUUACUAGUUAAGCCUAACUAGGCUUAACUAGCCGAAAACUAUUUAUACUGUAUAUUACUAUUUACAUACAACGGUUAUACUAUUUUCUUUUCAAUACUGAAUGUAUUAAUCAUGUAAUUUACGUACAUCGAUAAAAUUCUAUAAUUUCUUUUUCGAUAUGUGACAUGUUUAUGUUGUCAUCCAUUUUUCCCGUCCUCUCUUGCUAGCGUAAAUACUCUAGUUGUUGAAAUAUCUGAACAGCGAGCGUACUCUCGUAUCGCUGCGCUAGCGAAGGAAAAACAGCGUGGGCAAGAAGACAUGGGCGGAGCCUUCGACGUCAUCGGUUGUCUAGCGCACGUUUGCUAGCGUGUUUGCUCUCGCAAAGCCCUAGUUUGCGGCGGCUCUAAAAGACGUAGAUAAUAGUUUACAAAAUGGGCUAAAUCGCCCCGCGUUAACCCGUUUAAAUCUUAAAAUUGCGACCUUUCUUACGCCAGCGCGUCCAAACUCGCCGAUUUCCGCCGCAACCCGUUAACUUAUUUGGAUGACUAAUUACGGCGGGCGCCUUCCGUUCAUCUCCUCCCGCCGAUUUCGUCGCUUACCUUCGAAUUAGCAAUUGGUCCGACCUCCACACUUUCCAAUCGGCCGUCUUCGGCAUAGCGCCACGCCCCGUACUGUCCGGCCUGGUGGAGAAGUUUCCAUCCGGAGCCGGAUCUACAUAAAUAGGUCUACUCUGUCCUCUGCCACAGCGGCCAUUUUGGGGCUUACGGAUACAGUAUAUCCCAAGUGAAAGAAUGGGUUAUUGUGUGGCACGAAAUUGUAAAAGUAAACCUUCGGACGUUAGAUUAUUUAGAUUUCUUGAAGAAAAGCAAGAUGGCUGCAGACGGGAUAAAUGACGGCCGACCGAACCUUCUACACCCAGUACGACUGUCGAGAUCUUAACGGAGCGUACACCGUGCCCGCGGUAGCAAUACACUCGAAGGAACAUGCCUCUAUGCCAGAUAUUUGCCGGCUUCGAGUGUCGGUGGAGUACUUAAUAUAAUUUUAGAUGAUGCGGGUACUCGUUCCCGCUCGGGUGUCGACGCGCCAGUGGCAGUGAGCGCCGAAGCAUCGGUCCAGGCUCGGCUACCGCUCUCUUCCGAUGCCAGCGCGGAGAAUAGCAAUAGUACCGGUUCGAGGUAAAUACUGCUUUUGAUCGUAAGAGCUAACGCAUUUUUUUCGUUACGGGCACCGGUCGCCACGCUUUUAACUCUCGCCAGCGAGAUGGCGCCCGCACUGCGCCGUUACGACGCCUGGCCAAGGGUGGCGCGUCGAACUCUAUUCUCUGUCGAUAAACGUUAGCCGGGCCGUCCGUUAAACGCGCGGUAGGAGCCCGGAAGUAGGCCUCAUGUGGCCAAGUGUCACGUAUAGAGGUACGGUUCCUUCGAAUUUUCUCGGAUGUUAUUGCACACUUUACAAAAUGCCGGCCUGGGUGAUAAAACUAAUGCGAUUAGUUUGGAUGGAGACGGCGAACGACGAGGAUGUUCUUUAUUUUUCCACCGUUUUAAUGGAGUCUCGUAACGGUCCGAAGUUAUUAGACCGGAAUCUCGCUGGUUUUACGUAAUUUUAAUUUCGUGUCGAUAAGACUUUACUACUGGUCCGGGUUUGUUUAAAACCCGCACUAUUCAAAAAGCCCCAAAAUGAGAUGGCCGAGCGGUGGAGGUGGCAGCCUACCGGCGGAUGGAAAAAUCUCCAGGAAUUUUUUGGGGUGGUCCGGAUACGUCGGCCGCGUCCCUAACUACCCGCCCGCCCCAUUGCGGGCCGGAUCGAAGCCGUAAUGGGCUGGCUAAACGAAGGUCCUCUUAGUGCCCGCUGCGGAAACUUAAAAAAAAAGCCCCAAAACGGCGGUUCCAGACCUAUUUAUAUAGACCCGGCUUUGGACUAGCGUUGCGGCACUAGUCGAGAGCGAGAUCUUUUUGUGCACCGUAUAUAACGGAAAGCGUCGAUAAUCUUGGCCGAGACAAGAUUGGAGUAUUUCCAAAAACACCAAACUGGGGGCCUUAAAGCUUUUUGACCAAAACAGAUAAGAACGAUGAAAAAAUUUGCGUGUUACAACGAUCAUCUUGUCUAUAAAACGGCUUAAAAGGCGACACCGGGAAUCGAUAAAUGGCGGCGAAAGUCUCCCUAGUUCUUAUAAAGAGAAAUAUCGACCGGCUAAACCCGAUUUUUCCAUACCUAAAUGCGAAACGACCACGACUUAAUUUCGUCUAAAGCCACGUUUACGUCGGCAUCGGAUACGGCCUGUGAAACGAUGCCAUGUGUCCGCAUCGUUUCCCACGGAAGGAACGAUAGGUUCGUUUUAUUCCGUUCCGGAAGAGUCCGUCGUCGGACGCUUUCGGAGAGACGUUCCUCCGCCGGAACCGGAAGUAACGAGGAGGAAGAAAAUCCGACGGGGUAAAUACUUACUCGUAAUCGUUCCCAGAUUCUGGCUGACGGACGUUCUUUCUCGUCGAAUCCACCUUCGCUCAGCGCCACCUGCCGCCAUCGAUCGAUUUUCACUCCAAAUUUACGGGAGAAUAUUUUGAUACAAUUUUAAGAUUUUACUUUUAAAAAGGACGACGGUGAUCAUUUGUGUUACAUUAUUUAUCCUUUUAUCGAAAAAUGGCUUAAUUGUAGUUUUCCGUCUUCGAAAAAAAAGGAACGGACGAUUCCCAUUCGAUACCGAAUCGUAGACGUCGCCGACUUCCGGUAAAAACCAAGAUUUGAGCGUCGUUUCAAAAUGGGAAGAGAUAGACCCUGAAACGGACGUGUUAAAAUAAUUGAAUGCCGGUUGUCGCGACUCGCGAAUUGCCCGCAGUAUUUUAUCGUCGACGUCGAUCGUAUUUAUAGGUAAAAAUGUCGAAAUUCCAACGAAUAUUCUCGCUUGGCCGACGGAAGGAACGAUAUCAUUCGAUUCCGUAUUUCGUUCCGGAAGACUCCGUCGUCGGACGCGUGUCCGCCCAAACGGGAGGAAAAUCCCUCGGCCAUCGGAAAAAAGGAAAGAUUCGUAGUUUAGGAACCGGUCUAUUUGAAAAUAAAAAGAAACAAAUCGGAACACGGUAACAAUUAUUAAUAGCGGUACGGGACCAUUUAAACUUUAGGUCGGCACUCUUCGGGAAGAGAGGUUUGGUUUUUCCCCCAAUGUUGGCAAAAUUGUUUGAAAUUAAUUGCCGCGUAUUUGAGAAUGGUUUUAACUUUUGGCCCGGUAACGUAAUCGAGAAGAGGAUACCUCGAUUUCCGACGGGAAAAACGGAAAUUUUUGGCUUUGGCUUCGUAAUACCCGAACACUCCCGAUUAUUGCAGAAAUCGAAAAUAAUCGAGAACUGGUGAUUAAAUAAUAAAAAUUAGCUUCUCUACAUUCCAAAUCGAUGAAUUUGCAUAUUUCGUACUUUUAUCUACCCAUCCUUUUCUCCUCGGUACCAUUUCUUAUUUUGGUUUAAAAAAGUAAUAAUAAUAAUAUGUUUAAUUGAAGAAUAACUUUUUAUUCGAGAGUUGGAUAAGUAAGAUGUCGCCCAUAACCUAUUAAUUAAAGGUCGUUUGGGCUUCCACUCGUCCGUGUUUUGUUUCCGUGCUAAAACGGAUGCGAUUUAAAAUGAAUAGAAAAUCGGUCGGAGAGGAGGACGUCCCGUCGACAGACCAGAGAAUUAAUUACAGAUUCUCCGUUUCCCGGUUCGUUGAUCUUUAUAAACAAAAAAAAAUAAUUAUCUGGAUGUGUAUUGCGCGUAAAACUUACAAUUAACCGACGAUUCUUUCCGUUUACGGUAAGUCGCUGGUUUAUCGAUGUCGGGUAACGGUUCGUUGUCGAUGUCCGUAUACUUGCGAGACGUAUCCGCUCCGCGCUUCCUGUCGUCUGCAUUUUUGAAUGAUACUUUCGUUCGAAAUUCGCCUUAUUUCAGUUCUGUAUUUACGUUUUUGCUCACCUUCCGAGAUACGCGUCUGCGUAUCUAAUCUAAUUUUAAGAAACGUUUUUAAUUAUUCUUCGUUCUGUCCUUAUCUUUAUCCAUGCUCGAGUUUCUUGUCCGAUCGUCAGACUAACAUUUCUUCUACAUUAUACCCCAUUUCCAAAGUAAUUUGUUUGUUUAUUUUUCAAUAUUUAAUUAACGUCCUUUACGUAACAUUCCUUAAUUUCCGGCAAUUAAUAUUUGAAUUGGUUAUUUCCAAUCUGGUUUCUUUCUCGUUGUUUUCGUAGUCGACUGUGGUAGAGAGAUUUAAUUGAUUUUAUAUGUAAAUUACUCUUAUUGUUGUUCUCUCUGCAUUCGUAACUUCUGUUCCGGAAGUGAUUUUUCGUUUUGCACCCCGCUUGCGGUCUUCCAGUCCGAACAUAUUUUCGGUAUUAUUCGAUUUCGGUGUUGCGAAUUUCGUUAAUUUAAUUAAUAUAUUACGUCCUUCGAUAAUCAAAUUUAAUCCCGAUUCUUCUCUCGUACGUUUCCUUCUCGCGUGUUGUAUAACUAAAGAAAAUUACCUCCGUAUCAAAUUGCGAAAAAUUAGAAAUAUUACAAAAUAUUCUCCGGUUUCUUUGACUUUUACGUUUAGUUUUUGUUUUAAAAAACUGGAAAUUUUAUGCGAUAACGACUUACACGAUUGCCGGAAAUUUGGAUUUUACGUAAAUUCUCCUUUAAUUUACAGAAAUAAUUUACCGGAAAGAGCAUUGUUUUCGUCGCGUUAAAAUUCAUUGGAAUAAUAACAAAGCCAAUGAUGCCAGUAAUACAGAAAGUGGUUUAAGCGGGUGUGUAAAGACUUAUUCUACACCGGAAAACGUAAUUUGCUAGUGUCUAUCUUACUGCUGUGGAGAAAUUCUUCCAUCAAAUUCUUUUAACACUCGAUAGGAAACGACGAGGUUGCCACAAGGUGUCCGUACAUUCCGAUAAUUCGACCGAAUGAAAAAGAAAUUACUUGAUUACAGUACUUUUUUGUUGUUAAGGUAAUCUAACUUAAAUUAAUUAUUUUUUUCCUUUUGGGCCGCAAUUUAAAAACUUGUAAAACUGUAAAUUCGCACUGUCGCCCGUCCGUCUGUCCUUCCUCAAUGUAGAGAAUAGAGUUGGGCAGAUGAAAUUCGAGAGCGGGUAUGGAAAUCGUAGGAGUGGGAAGCCCGAUUAACUAUAUACGAAGUUCCGAUGCAAACCGGAAGCGACGUUUUUUUUCAAUGGGAAAAGUUUUCGCGAAAUGUGUUAGAUAAAUGACCGGCACGAGCCUAAUGUUAAAGGAAAGGUAUGAUGUACGGGGGCGAGCUACUACUAAUUUGAGGCGGAGAGCGUAUAUUUUAAAUUAAGUAAAUUAAAAAUAUGAUUAAAAAUUGCAGCCCGGCAUUGCGACCGUGUCACAAUACAUAAUUGCUGGUCUUUUGAGUGGUAUAUUUAGAAUUUUUUAGAACGAUAUUAAUUCAAAUAUAACGGAUUUAUCUGAAAGAAAUAAAAGUAGCGUAUAUCGUGUGUUUUCUUAGCCGCGUCGUCACAAAUAAGUUAUUUGAGAAGAAGCGUAAUUGGCCGAAGAAGUUCGAACAUCGUACUUCUGAAAAGUGUGAUUUUCCUCGCUCCGAGUCCAGUCACGAAACACAACCUAAAAUUGUGUUGAAAUUUAGAAAUAAAUUUACAGAUAAAAUGGAGGGUGGAAGAUAAUUACCUUCGGACGACAUAAAUGUAAAGAAAAAGCGAAAACUGCGGAAGAGACUACCGGUUAAAUGAAUUCCAGUUAGCCCUAUUCCAAUUCGCAGAAAUUCGCACUAACGAGUAAAGAGAAGAGCGGGUCGAUUUCCGGAAACAACUGCAUUUAUAUAGGCCGUAUAUUGUAGUCGUCGACGUUAACAGGUGAUAGUUUAAAGGUUGCUUUGUUUUAAUUAAUUAAAAAAAAUGACAAAUGAUUUGUAAUUAAAAACGGUUAAAUAGAAAAGAGCCGUACGGGGGACAGAAGGACGUUUUACGCUUAUUAUUUAAACUGCACACAUACACAAAACUAGUAAGUUCCAACCUGGUAGGCGAUAUUUGUUGUGAGUAUUUUCUGUUUAUCCACAAUUCUUUACUACUGCUUACGAUCGUUGUAAAAUGCUGCUCGAACAUUAAUACGGCCUUUUAACGCGUUUGGCAACGAAACGGCGAGUAGUCCCGGUCCGAAGACUUUAUCCCCGUCGACUAUUCCUAAGGAGUUGACACGGAAUAGAAUUAGGGUGUCGUACUUUUUUUUAACCAAUUUUUAUAUCUUUCGAUACGAGCGCGAAGACAGCCUUUUUUCCAUAUCGACGGUGGGUUCCGUCGGAAUACAAAACGUAAAAAUGCGUGCACUAAGGAGAGCUGGACGUUAUCCGCUUGUCGAUUUAAUGUACAUCUACUUAUAUUUUCUUACAUAACCCGUACGUGGCAAGGACCGUAAUAUCGGACGUCGCGAUACAAAAUUAUUGUAAGUAAAUCGAUGGUAAGUGCUAAUAAUUAAUAAUUUGAAAAUAAUUAAAACACUAAAAGAAAGGAAAAAACUGUCUUAUUUAGAUUUUGUAUACGUAAAAUGUUAGAACCAAAACACAUUUAAAAUUAAAUAUUUGGCCGGGGAAAGUGAGGCUAUCCGGAAUCGGUCCAUCCGUUCACACGCCGUACUCGAACAGAUACGCGCCAAUUCAAUUCAAUUACAUAAAUAACGAAAUUAGAAUAUGCAAAUAUUUAUUUAUUUAAAAUUCGGAUUAUUUGAAGAGGCGUUUGGGGGUAAACGUAUUCCGCGAAAUAUCGGCGCAAAGACGUAAAGGUUUGAAGCCGAUUGGUAUUUCUUCCGCCACCCGGGCGGGUGGUAAUAGACGCGUAAUAGGCCAACGAUUGUUCUUUUUAUAACUUAUUCGUCGCAUUCGUCCGCCGGUGGUAAACUCCGAGCUUUUUCAUCUCUGGCAGGCGUCGUGCCGCGUGCGAGAUGGGGGUGUUCCGGUCGAACUCCGAUUAAGUUAUCUUGGAGAGUCGAUUUGUACGCGAAUACUCGUCGGGUACAAAUCUCUUGGAAUACUCUACGAUAGUCGUCACCGCUUAGUUAAGCGUCCUUCUUCCCGAGUCGGAGGGAGUCGAACAUAAUUUUUCCGUCCAGUUAAAAAUUUUAAAUAAUAUUUUAACAAAUAUUUCCCUAGCAACGUCCGCGGCACACUCGUCCCGGAGUUCCGCUUACCAGCGUCGAGCGCAAACUACGAAUAUCAAUAGGCCUGACCUUAAACGUUUGCCGGGAGUCAUGGACGGAGUGGCUAUCUCGGUGGCGAAAGCCGCCGUGUUUUUCCUAGUUGCGGGACAAUUUAUUUCUGUCUGUUGCGAAGAUACUCCUGGGGAAGAGUCGCCGUCCUACCAACACGUUAUUCUUAACGCGCACUAUCGGGACGGUUCGAGUUGGUUCGGGUUCAUUCCUUGCUCGUGGUUCUGCCCCAUCGCCUGCGCCAUGAAGAUUAAUGAGAUGUUGUGCACGGACUGCCAAUGUUCCUCUUCGGACGAGCCCGCCACCGCAGAUCCUGCGUUUUAAUACCUAAGUUUACGGCGUUGGCGCGCCUAUCAUUUUCCUAUUUCGGUUAAAACGUAAAAGCGGAAAUACGAAAAAUAAAUAUUUGUCCGGAACUCGACUUUCUAUGUAAUGAAAAACAAGAAAUUAAUAAAUUCUGUCGGUUAGACGAAAUUAAAAUGCUUAGC